UGCCACCAUAUGGUUACCUUGUCGU
RNAcentral lists this unclassified non-coding RNA (25 nucleotides) under Mus musculus (house mouse). Its description in RNAcentral is "oocyte_clustered_small_RNA4851". Lineage: Eukaryota; Metazoa; Chordata; Mammalia; Rodentia; Muridae. The record is from RNAcentral.